AUACUGUGACAUUUUUUAUUUCAUUUUUGCUCAAAUGGAGACAAAAGAAGAUUUAGUACAAAUCAGUCUUACUUUCUCCUCAGAGAAAGUGCCCGUUAAGCCGUCAUCAUACGAUUUUCAGUGCAACGCGCUGUAAUUAACAGAUGAGGUUUUGACACUGGGCGGCUGGCGUAGAUGCACCACAGCAAAACUGAUUAAUUAGCCGAUACUAAUCAGAGUCUCUCUUAAACAGUUUGUUGGCUCAGUUUAUUUUCAGCUUCAGUUUCUUGUGUGUGAAUAUGUUUGUGUGAUUUUCAGGUGGUGACAUGUCCCAAUGCCUCCUUCACUGACCUGGCAGAAAUUGUGUCCCGCAUCGAGCCUGUUAAAUCUGCUCUUGUGGACGAUGAGUCCGACUACCACACAGACUAUGAAGAGGAGGCAGGGGAGAGUGCUCCGUCUGACAUGGAGCUCUACAAUCGAUAUGGUGAACACACUGAAGGAGAGGAGACUGCUGACACGGAUGAAGAGCUGGAGCUGAGGCGUCAACAACACCGCCCGACCAAAACCACGGUCACUGAAAGAAAGUAAAGAUGUCCGCUGUUAAACCUGGGAGGCCUUUUUUAAAAAAAACAGUCCAUUGAGUGAAGACCAGUUUAACUAAGUCUCUUCAAACAGAUCGUCUGCCUUUCUGCCACAUAUUAACCUUUAGUUUGACCCACGUGGCUCCAAACCUGCUCCUUCCUUCACUAACAGUGAUUAUCUCUCUGCCUGCCCUGGUUAGCUUUGUGGCUGACUUAACAAAUGGACUGCCUCUUUAAAAAGAAAAAAAAACUGUUUUGUUUUUUUGAAAAAAAAAGAAAAAUGGCUUGAAUCAAGAGGGUCUCGCAAGAAACACAAAUUGCGCACACACACUCACAAAACAAAUGCACAUGGCCAGGAGAGGGGAAGGGUGGAGCGUUAGCGGUGAGUUUUUACAACAGUGAGGAUAAAGCAGUAGACAAUGGAUGGAAUGUUUAAGCUGCAAGUCCUAUGAAUUCCUAUGCAACAGAGCAACUGCAAAGCCCGUUAUUUUCUCAUAUUGAGACAUUUGAGAGGAACUUCUGUCACUUUACGAGCAUCACACUGGUCCAGUGAAAGAUGACAGAGGAGAGUAAAGCUACUACAGCAUAUAUCUGUCGAACCUAUAAACACUUACCUCAAGUUUAGCACUCAAAAUUAUUUAAGUCCAUUCAAAGUUUAAGUUUUUUUUGUUAUUUGUUUCACAGUAAAUCAGUCGUACAAUACUGUUCAGUUUUUAUCUGUGGACAUGUUGCCAAAAUAAAGUGACGUUCUGAUGUAUUCGGAACGCAGAAAUACGCCAACCUGUUUGCAGCCACGAGAGCAAUAAAUGAUAUCAAGCAAAUCACUAAGAAACAUGGAACAAGUAAAUGCUAAUAAAGCUGUUAGGCAACGUUUGUUUAUAUUUUAAAGUCGCACACUAAGGCUUUAACUUUGAAUUGAUGUUUCAAUUUGAAUGUAAAUUAUCCGACCAUAGAAAUGUUGGAUGUGAGAAACAUUUUUUUUUCAAUGUUCCCAAAGUUGGAGUCAGGACACUGUAGGGUUUUGCGAGGCAGACACGGUUCUGGGUCUAGAGUCUCAGAACCUUGGUGCUUUCCGGCAAACCACCAGUUUAAGAGGAACCAAAGUGUAAGGACGUUACUCCGGUGGAAGUAAACACAACACCGACACUUUUUCUCUACCCAGGAAAUGGCAUGCCCGCUGACGAUGUCACAUUUGGAAGAACCAACUGUUAGGUUCCAGCUGAGAACCAACUUUUUGCAUCGGCUGGUUCAAAAUUAGGUUCGAGAACCGUAACUGGGCUAUGAGUGUGUGCCAUAGAUUCAGUCAAAUCAACGCCAAAAUGGCCAACUGCCCCAAGAGCUAAUCAACAUCCUCAAUUUUCAUUCCUUGUCAAGAAAACAAGCAAAAUUCAGUCAAAACAACAACACGAUCAAUCGUUUCAAGGGUCAACACAGAUUUUACACACAAGGGCGACCAAUCAUCACUUUUUUUGUUUGUUUUUUUAAACAUAUACACUUCAAAGCACAUCUCUUUUCUGUUGAAGUCUACCAGACUACAGCUCACAGUGGUGGAUCUACAGUUUAGAGCAGCAGCAGUGCAAUUUCUUCACAGAAACCUACUGUGACGAGAAGAAGGGGUUUUUUUAGCUUCUUUUUCCUCAGUGAUUUGGAUCAAAUUUAGAUUUGCCAACACUUUAUUUUAUUAGUACCAUAUUUUACUUUAAAAUUAGUGAAAAAUGUAAUGUUUUAUAUUUAAAUCAAGAAUGUAUACAACCUAAGUUGUAUGUCGUUUAAUGCACAAGUUGGACAAUCUGUUCCUGAAAUGCAGUACAAUGCAAUAUUACACACAAACUAACUCACGUAUCACCUCAAACGUACAACAUUAUGUCAUUUAUAUAAGGUCAAAUUCAUCUCUGUUUUAACCCUGGCUGUACUAACGAUUCAUGAUUAUUGUUAUAAUGUUUGAAAAUGAAGUGAAAAUGUUCGUCUGUUUUGUGAAAAUGUCUUGUUUUCAUUCCAAAGUCGUAAAGAUUAACAAGUGUAAAAAAAUAUAUAAAAAAAAAAUCAUGUUUCAGAACAACAAAAAAAUAAGCCAUUUUGAUGUUGAGAACAGUUUGAUUUAGGGCUGGGUGAUGUGAUCAAAAUCUUUUAAAAUACUUUUUUUAUUUUACGAAAUGUUAAAGAAAUUACUUAAUUGUGGUUUUGAACAGAAAACAACAAAAGACUUGUUAAACACACAUGUAUUUUGCAAAUCUGAAGCAAAAUAGUGUUUGCACAAUGCAGUAACAUUAUAUGCUGAUCAAUAUAUAUUGGUCCAUUUGUUUUACUGCUUUUUAACAAAAUUAUAUAUUUCAAAAUAUAUAUAUAUAUAUAUAUGUUGUUCUUGAAUUAUUGUUCAGCCCUAGGUUGAUUUCUGUUGAUUGAUUUUAUUUAAAAAAACAAAACAAAAAAAAAAGCACUCUCUAACAGUUUUGUUAUGGAGACUGUUAAGUUUGCUACCCUGCUUUUGUUUGUUUAUACCAAACCAAAAAAAAAAACCACAGUUUGCAUUUGUCCUCCCACUGCCUGGGUCCUAGAGUUAACACAGUCUAAACAACACUCCGAUAAAUACCGAUAAAAUCAAAGUUACAGAUGUAACCGAGUCUCUGUGAUUCUGGAUGAGCGUCAGAGACGUUAUCUGAAAGUUAUAAGUCAAAAUAAACAAUAAAACCUUGUAUGUUAAUCUGACAUUUCACUAGAUUAUAUAUACUCAAUCGACCAAUUUAUUAAGUACACAGAAAACUAUUACUAUUAGAGUGGCACCUGUUCAUCAUCUGCUUCAGAGUCACAAGACGUUUGUUUCAUUUAGCACCAGCCUGGUCAUUUUAUAUCUGACCUCUGGCACCAAUAAGGCCUUUUAUCACCCAUAGAACUGCUCUCUUUGUUUUUGACCAUUCUGAAGUACGAAACAACAAACAUGCCACAUUCAACGUCACUUAAAUCACCUGUCUUCACUGUAAUGCGAUUGAUAAGACAUUUAUUUUCACACACGCAGAUGAACGGGUCGUACCAGUGAGUGUCCUGUGUCACAGAACAUGCAGGACAAUUUAUUUGAUUCUUUCAUGCAACUUUUGACGAUUAUUUUUCUUUUUCUUCCUCCCACUCGAUAUAUUAACUCGCGAGCCCGACUGUACGAAGGUGCGAUCAUUGUAAAUAUGGCUGGGACUGUGCCGACAGUCUUACAAAGAAACCCUGUGAUAAACACUAUGGAGCUUCCAUAUGGUGUUGGUUAAACAGAGUGUGGACACAGAACGUGUGACAAAGUACAGACAGGAAAGUGUCUGCGGUUUACCAAUGAUGUAACGGCGUGUGUUGUUUUCAAUUUGGGUGCUUUCCAAAAACCUGUUUAAUAUAAAUUUAUAUUGUGUGUCAAAAUGAAUGUUCUCUACUUUACUAGAUGGGACAAGGUGAUGGAUAAAGUGCUUAUGUAAUGUGUGGAGCUGUGCCAUGGAAUUAAUGUUACGAAGCCUUAAAUGACCCAUGUGGGGGAGCAACCACUCGUGCCCUUGUUUGGCAUUGAUUUUUGAUAAAUAAAAUAAUUAAUAAUAACUAAUAAGCCUGCACUGUAUGACUUCAAUGACUUGUGUGUAUUUAUAUUAUUUGAUAAUGACUGUACUAAUAAAGCACAAUUUGUUGUUAAUUUGUA
Molecule: long non-coding RNA, 4224 nt
Organism: Solea senegalensis (Senegalese sole)
Lineage: Eukaryota; Metazoa; Chordata; Actinopteri; Pleuronectiformes; Soleidae
Exons: 3
Source: RefSeq, a predicted model, not a curated record